This 72-nucleotide transfer RNA is filed under the name Camelus bactrianus (Bactrian camel). It matches the Rfam family "tRNA". Rfam says of the family: Transfer RNA (tRNA) molecules are approximately 80 nucleotides in length. Their secondary structure includes four short double-helical elements and three loops (D, anti-codon, and T loops). The record is from Rfam by way of RNAcentral. Lineage: Eukaryota; Metazoa; Chordata; Mammalia; Artiodactyla; Camelidae. RNAcentral also lists the same sequence under 2 other names.
GAGGGUGUAGCUCAGUGGUAGAGCACAUGCUUAGCAAUCAUAAGGUUCUGGGUUCAACACCCAGUACCUCCU